Molecule: ribosomal RNA, 300 nt
Filed under: uncultured Sulfurovum sp.
Lineage: Bacteria; Pseudomonadati; Campylobacterota; Epsilonproteobacteria; Campylobacterales; Sulfurovaceae
Description: partial 16S ribosomal RNA
Rfam family: Bacterial small subunit ribosomal RNA (bases 54-300)
Source: RNAcentral
GGAAGUGGGGGGCGGAGGCGGGGGUAAGAAGAGGGGGGAAAGCGUUGUGGGGGAUGACUGGGGGGAAGGGGGGCGGAGGUGGAUCGGGAGGUCGGGAAGUGAAAUCCCGCCGCUCAACGGCGGGGCUGCGUGGGAAACGGCAGGGAUGGGGACCGGUAGAGGGCGGUAGAAUUCCCGGUGUAGCGGUGGAAUGCGUAGAGAUCGGGAAGAACACCCGUGGCGAAGGCGGCCGACUGGGCCGGAUCCGACGCUGAUGCGCGAAAGCGUGGGGAGCAAACAGGAUUAGAUACCCUAGUAGUC